RNAcentral lists this small nuclear RNA (97 nucleotides) under Callorhinchus milii (elephant shark). Lineage: Eukaryota; Metazoa; Chordata; Chondrichthyes; Chimaeriformes; Callorhinchidae. The record is from RNAcentral.
GUGAAAGGCGCAAUACACAUGUAAUCUUGUUGUUGUAGAUUAGCACGGCCCCCCGCACAAGGAUGACGUGCAAAUUCGUGAAACUUUCCAUAUUUUU